RNAcentral lists this ribosomal RNA (1896 nucleotides) under Vibrio vulnificus. Its description in RNAcentral is "bacterial LSU rRNA". It matches the Rfam family "Bacterial large subunit ribosomal RNA", at positions 1046 to 2925 of the family's 2925-position model. The record is from RNAcentral. Lineage: Bacteria; Pseudomonadati; Pseudomonadota; Gammaproteobacteria; Vibrionales; Vibrionaceae.
CCCAAAUUACAGCUAAGUGGGAAACGAUGUGGGAAGGCUUAGACAGCUAGGAUGUUGGCUUAGAAGCAGCCAUCAUUUAAAGAAAGCGUAAUAGCUCACUAGUCGAGUCGGCCUGCGCGGAAGAUGUAACGGGGCUAAGUUGUAAACCGAAGCUGCGGCAAUGUUCUAUGAACAUUGGGUAGGGGAGCGUUCUGUAAGCCGUUGAAGGUGUGUUGUAAAGCAUGCUGGAGGUAUCAGAAGUGCGAAUGCUGACAUGAGUAACGACAAGGGGGGUGAAAAACCUCCCCGCCGGAAGACCAAGGGUUCCUGUCCAACGUUAAUCGGGGCAGGGUAAGUCGACCCCUAAGGCGAGGCUGAAAAGCGUAGUCGAUGGGAAACGGGUUAAUAUUCCCGUACUUCUUACAAUUGCGAUGGGGGGACGGAGAAGGCUAGGUGGGCCUGGCGACGGUUGUCCAGGUUCAAGUGCGUAGGCUGAGUGUUUAGGUAAAUCCGGAUACUCUUAAGGCUGAGACACGACGUCGAGCUACUACGGUAGUGAAGUCAUUGAUGCCAUGCUUCCAGGAAAAGCCUCUAAGCUUCAGAUUGUAAGGAAUCGUACCCCAAACCGACACAGGUGGUCGGGUAGAGAAUACCAAGGCGCUUGAGAGAACUCGGGUGAAGGAACUAGGCAAAAUGGUACCGUAACUUCGGGAGAAGGUACGCUCUUGAUGGUGAAGUCCCUUGCGGAUGGAGCUGACGAGAGUCGCAGAUACCAGGUGGCUGCAACUGUUUAUUAAAAACACAGCACUGUGCAAAAUCGUAAGAUGACGUAUACGGUGUGACGCCUGCCCGGUGCCGGAAGGUUAAUUGAUGGGGUUAGCGUAAGCGAAGCUCUUGAUCGAAGCCCCGGUAAACGGCGGCCGUAACUAUAACGGUCCUAAGGUAGCGAAAUUCCUUGUCGGGUAAGUUCCGACCUGCACGAAUGGCGUAAUGAUGGCCACGCUGUCUCCACCCGAGACUCAGUGAAAUUGAAAUCGCUGUGAAGAUGCAGUGUACCCGCGGCUAGACGGAAAGACCCCGUGAACCUUUACUACAGCUUGGCACUGAACAUUGAACCUACAUGUGUAGGAUAGGUGGGAGGCUUUGAAGACGUGACGCCAGUUGCGUUGGAGCCGUCCUUGAAAUACCACCCUUGUAUGUUUGAUGUUCUAACGUUGGCCCCUAAUCGGGGUUGCGGACAGUGCCUGGUGGGUAGUUUGACUGGGGCGGUCUCCUCCCAAAGAGUAACGGAGGAGCACGAAGGUGGGCUAAUCACGGUUGGACAUCGUGAGGUUAGUGCAAUGGCAUAAGCCCGCUUAACUGCGAGAAUGACGGUUCGAGCAGGUGCGAAAGCAGGUCAUAGUGAUCCGGUGGUUCUGAAUGGAAGGGCCAUCGCUCAACGGAUAAAAGGUACUCCGGGGAUAACAGGCUGAUACCGCCCAAGAGUUCAUAUCGACGGCGGUGUUUGGCACCUCGAUGUCGGCUCAUCACAUCCUGGGGCUGAAGUCGGUCCCAAGGGUAUGGCUGUUCGCCAUUUAAAGUGGUACGCGAGCUGGGUUUAGAACGUCGUGAGACAGUUCGGUCCCUAUCUGCCGUGGGCGUUGGAAGAUUGAAGGGGGCUGCUCCUAGUACGAGAGGACCGGAGUGGACGAACCUCUGGUGUUCGGGUUGUGUCGCCAGACGCAUUGCCCGGUAGCUAAGUUCGGAAUCGAUAACCGCUGAAAGCAUCUAAGCGGGAAGCGAGCCCUGAGAUGAGUCUUCCCUGAUACUUUAAGUAUCCUAAAGGGUUGUUCGAGACUAGAACGUUGAUAGGCAGGGUGUGUAAGCGCUGUGAGGCGUUGAGCUAACCUGUACUAAUUGCCCGUGAGGCUUAACCAU